UCGUUUUGUGGAGUAAUUAAAAUGCCAGCCUCUAAAUUCAGAUAUGAUCUCAAGAUAUUUGAUCGACGCCUAGGCGCUAGUAGACAUUCGCCAUUUCUGCUUAUGGAAAGCUGCAUAACUGACCAAUUAGGUUUUCUGUUUUUAGUUCCCCCGCCAGAAGUAAACUACUUGACCUUACAUUAAUUUCCACCUGUUGAUAUUUUGGUGUGGUCUUAUCCUCUCGUGGCGAAAACAUGGGACAUCGUGGAUGUUAGCUUUUGCUAUUAGGCGAAGCCAAGAUUUAAAUUUUAUAAAUUUGUUAUUUUAAUUAUUUUAUGAUUAUGAGUUAUAUUUUAAUAAGUUGUAUUUAUUCAUUGAGUUCUUAAGAUAAAUAUUGAAUUUGGAGUAAAACAAUUGUAUUUGGCAAAAUCGUUAUUAACUAUGCUCUAGCUAGCCCCGCCCUGCUAUUAGAACGUUGUUUGCUUAAAUAAUAUGACACCACAAAUUCCUAAAUUAUAGUGAAAGGAUUGUGAGAGGCUAUAAAUGAGAUUGUAAUUGUUGUAUCAUAG
RNAcentral lists this long non-coding RNA (548 nucleotides) under Nicotiana benthamiana. RNAcentral describes it as "long non-coding RNA (NBEN_LNC039304)". The record is from RNAcentral. Lineage: Eukaryota; Viridiplantae; Streptophyta; Magnoliopsida; Solanales; Solanaceae.